Molecule: long non-coding RNA, 203 nt
Filed under: Panax ginseng (ginseng)
Lineage: Eukaryota; Viridiplantae; Streptophyta; Magnoliopsida; Apiales; Araliaceae
Description: long non-coding RNA (PGIN_LNC007974)
Source: RNAcentral
UAAUAGCUUGACUCCUUGUUCUGGUCUCUUCUGAAUAGCAAGACACCUCAGAUUUGUGGCAUACCCAGCUCACUUUCUCCUUAUGAUCUCCCGUUCACUUAUCAUCAAUGGACUGACCAUGCUUAAUCAUUUUAUCCUUGUUCUUCAUAAAUCGACCAGUAUCUCUGUGUACACUUCAUCAGUUCCUUAUUUGCUUGGCAAAC